RNAcentral lists this ribosomal RNA (116 nucleotides) under Lepisosteus oculatus (spotted gar). The record is from RNAcentral. Lineage: Eukaryota; Metazoa; Chordata; Actinopteri; Semionotiformes; Lepisosteidae.
AUCAGCAGUUAUAUCACUCUGCAACUCACAACUGGCAACCCAUUGAAGCUAAGUAGGUAUGAGCCUGGUCAUUACCUGGGUGAGAGACCUCCUGGGAAAAAUGGUUGCUGCUGGAA